UUGAACGCUGGCGGCAUGCCUUACACAUGCAAGUCGAACGGCAGCACGGGAGCUUGCUCCUGGUGGCGAGUGGCGAACGGGUGAGUAAUACAUCGGAACGUACCCUGAAGUGGGGGAUAACGUAGCGAAAGUUACGCUAAUACCGCAUAUUCUGUGAGCAGGAAAGAGGGGGAUCGCAAGACCUCUUGCUUUAGGAGCGGCCGAUGUCGGAUUAGCUAGUUGGUGAGGUAAAGGCUCACCAAGGCGACGAUCCGUAGCGGGUCUGAGAGGAUGAUCCGCCACACUGGGACUGAGACACGGCCCAGACUCCUACGGGAGGCAGCAGUGGGGAAUUUGGACAAUGGGCGCAAGCCUGAUCCAGCCAUGCCGCGUGAGUGAAGAAGGCCUUCGGGUUGUAAAGCUCUUUCGGUGGGGAAGAAAUUGCACAGGAUAAUACCUUGUGUAGAUGACGGUACCCGCAUAAGAAGCACCGGCUAACUACGUG
Molecule: ribosomal RNA, 484 nt
Filed under: uncultured bacterium
Lineage: Bacteria
Description: bacterial SSU rRNA
Rfam family: Bacterial small subunit ribosomal RNA
Source: RNAcentral